RNAcentral lists this ribosomal RNA (440 nucleotides) under uncultured bacterium. Its description in RNAcentral is "partial 16S ribosomal RNA". It matches the Rfam family "Bacterial small subunit ribosomal RNA", at positions 338 to 795 of the family's 1533-position model. The record is from RNAcentral.
CCUACGGGAGGCAGCAGUGGGGAAUAUUGCACAAUGGGGGAAACCCUGAUGCAGCGACGCCGCGUGAGCGAUGAAGGAUUUCGGUAUGUAAAGCCCUAUCAGCAGGGAAGAAGAUGACGGUACCUGACUAAGAAGCCCCGGCUGACUACGUGCCAGCAGCCGCGGUAAUACGUAGGGGGCACGCGUUAUCCGGAUUUACUGGGGGUUAAGGGAGCGUAGACGGCGAUGCAAGCCAGAUGUGAAAGCCCGGGGCGCAACCCCGGGAGUGCAUUGGGAACUGGGUGGCUGGAGUGUGGGAGAGGCAUGCGGAAUGCCUGGUGUAGCGGUGAAAUGCGUAGAUAUUAGGAGGAACACCAGUGGCGAAGGCGGCAUGCUGGAGGAUGACUGACGUUGAGGCACGAAAGCGUGGGGAGCGAACAGGAUUAGAUACCCGGGUAGUC